GUAUGUUGAGAUCGUUAUCAAGUCCGGAUUCCUUCUUAAACGUAAUGACAAAUGUUUGUUUUUAUGGCCUUUAAAUGCAUUCGGCAACUUCAUUUCAGUGUCACAGUGCUGUUUUUUUUUUCAGUCCAAAGAGCCCGAAGCUGAUAAGACUGGCGAUUGAUCCUGAAGCUGAUUUGACAGACGAUUGCAUCAUCACAACAUUGAAGGUUCAAUAUACAGUCAGCCUCUCAUAAGAUAAAGAACAAAUCCCAAGAUCCAAGGCUUGCUUCAAAGUUAAGAGACCAUUCUGUGCCACAAAGAAAUUGUUCAGGAAGAGGAGAAGUGGUGGAUAUUCAUUUUUGGUACGGUUCAAAGAGAUUUUCAAAAUGGUCAUGGAAGAUCAAAGGGAGGACAACUGAAAAAACUGAAAGAUACAGAAGGAAAAA
Long non-coding RNA from Saccostrea cuccullata (small rock oyster), 425 nucleotides. RefSeq lists it as uncharacterized. NCBI's taxonomy places the organism in Eukaryota, Metazoa, Mollusca, Bivalvia, Ostreida, Ostreidae. The transcript is spliced from 4 exons. The record is from RefSeq and is a predicted model, not a curated record.